GAUGAACGCUAGCGGCAGGCUUAACACAUGCAAGUCGAGGGGCAGCACGAGGUAGCAAGUACUUUGGUGGCGACCGGACGCCGACGGGUGCGUAACGCGUAUGCAACCUACCUUUAACAGGGGCAUAACACUGAGAAAUUGGUACUAAUUCCCCAUAACAUUUCGAGAAGGCAUCUUCUUGGUUAAAAACUCCGGUGGUUAAAGAUGGGCAGUUGCGUUGGUACUUAGCUAGUUGGUGAGGUAACGGCUCACCAAGGCAACGAUACAUAGGGGG
RNAcentral lists this ribosomal RNA (274 nucleotides) under uncultured bacterium. Its description in RNAcentral is "partial 16S ribosomal RNA". It matches the Rfam family "Bacterial small subunit ribosomal RNA", at positions 28 to 290 of the family's 1533-position model. The record is from RNAcentral.